GUACACUCCUGCGGGAGGCAGCAGUGGGGAAUAUUGCACAAUGGGCGCAAGCCUGAUGCAGCCAUGCCGCGUGUAUGAAGAAGGCCUUCGGGUUGUAAAGUACUUUCAGCGGGGAGGAAGGCAAUACGGUUAAUAACCGUGUUGAUUGACGUUACCCGCAGAAGAAGCACCGGCUAACUCCGUGCCAGCAGCCGCGGUAAUACGGAGGGUGCAAGCGUUAAUCGGAAUUACUGGGCGUAAAGCGCACGCAGGCGGUCUGUCAAGUCGGAUGUGAAAUCCCCGGGCUCAACCUGGGAACUGCAUUCGAAACUGGCAGGCUUGAGUCUUGUAGAGGGGGGUAGAAUUCCAGGUGUAGCGGUGAAAUGCGUAGAGAUCUGGAGGAAUACCGGUGGCGAAGGCGGCCCCCUGGACAAAGACUGACGCUCAGGUGCGAAAGCGUGGGGAGCAAACAGGAUUAGAAACCCGAGUAGUCCCA
This 475-nucleotide ribosomal RNA is filed under the name uncultured organism. RNAcentral's name for it is "partial 16S ribosomal RNA". It matches the Rfam family "Bacterial small subunit ribosomal RNA", at positions 331 to 797 of the family's 1533-position model. The record is from RNAcentral.